This 2196-nucleotide ribosomal RNA is filed under the name Triticum aestivum (bread wheat). RNAcentral describes it as "partial small subunit ribosomal RNA". Lineage: Eukaryota; Viridiplantae; Streptophyta; Magnoliopsida; Poales; Poaceae. The record is from RNAcentral.
AUGUCAGUGUCCAUGGUACUCUGGACUACACUGGCUACACCUCCACCGCAGCGCCCGGUUCCUGACCUCGAACUCAUCACAACAACUCCCACGAGUUGUUGGUUAAAAAGCUAUGUCGAGGUUGCCUACGUGUUGACACCAGUGCCCAGAGCAAAUCUGACAAUGGGUCUGAAUGCACAAGGACAGGUGAUCCGGCCAGUACCAUGGCCUUCGUUCUUCAGCAAGCAUAUCAAUACAGCUCAGGGCAAUAUUGCCGAGUCGCCAUCAAGCGCCGCAACUGUGUCGAGCAGGUAUGUGGUUCGUUGUUCGACCUUGCCACCAGUCCAUGUCAAGGUGAAUCUGGGGUGUGUCCGAAUGUUGCUGGAGUCAGCUGCAGGAAAGUCACAGUUACUAGACCUCUUGUGCGAGUUUCUGAUAGCUUCAGGUUCAGACAUAAAAUCAGGUUCCAUAAAUAUGGUACUAGCAGCACGUGAGGCAUGCAAGACUAAUUGGUAUAUGGCUCACGUAGUUGACAUUUUGUCCAUGGGUGCACAACAUUUUUCACUUCUUUUAGUUAGCUCAUGGCGACAAGGUCACUUGCAGAUGGAUGAUGUGUUCCAGAUGCUUAAGAAAUGGUGCCCACAUAACCAAUAUGUGCAGCUGGCCUGUACAAUUUAUGAAGCUCACAACGAGUUCCAUGCUACCAGCGAGGUUUUGACUUCGGUGCUUAAUUGGGAAGCUGCACUUUUGCCCACAGACUUCCUAUUCGACAAGUACACUGAGCUGAUGAAUGUUGAAUGGCAUUUUUGUCUGGUGCAACCAGUUCAUGUUUAUUGUCCUCUACCUCUGGCUGGACCUCCUGAUUGUGGCGACGGAUGUGAAACUAUGCUCAAUUCUUCUCGGUUCACCUUAAGAGGAGUUAAAGGUAUCUCUCAUGAGUUUGCUAGUGCAACUGAAUAUUCUUGCUACACCAUAAUUAGUAGUACAUGGUGGGUAUUAUUGGUGACUAUGAAAAUUAUGAUGGGAGGCACCGAUGAUAUGACGAGCAGCCUGAGUGUGGAUGGUUUGAUUGGCAAACCUGGGUUGUCAGCUGUCCCAUGGGUACAACUACAACGACCUAAUUACUGGGAAACGAAAUCGGGGUCUGUGCAACAAAUAAUCAGGGAGGCACCGAUGACAUUUCAAGCUGAGGCCCUCCUGGAUGUUACUCAACCUGGUGAACCUGUUAACAAAAGAAGAGUACCAUCACUGCAUACAGAAGGAAGAGAAUUGUUUGCCGGAGUUCCUCAGCCCAUUAUUCACUUUCACUUGCCAUUGCAUAUAUGGGUUCCGGUGUUUCUAGUCCCCAGCUCGUCUGACAUCCUUGCUGGCUUACAGUGCAACUCCGAGCAACUCUUGACUGCUCCCCUAUAUCAUUUUGAACAAUUCCAUUGGAUAAUUGCACAGGCAUUCUUUAAUGGUAUCAAGGGCAGUGUGGUCACCAACAUUUUUGAGACUUUGUACAAUCCUUGUGCUGCUCCAGUGCGAGAAGGUGUUCCUACUUAUUUGGACUAUUUUGCUGUUGCUGCUUGUUCUACUGGUUUGCAAGCAAGUGCAAGUACGUGGCAGUUAGUGCUCAAGGAUAUCUGGCAUGUUCAUUACCUUGGUACUGUGAUUGAGUGGAUGUUGUGCUUAUUCAUUCCUGUGGUGAGAUGCUCUCUUGGUCAUGGACCAAAUUUUAUUAUCUCCGGAACUAUGCCCACAGCAUUGCCAGUUCAAGAGGAACCACAACUGAAAUACUUCUGCCAAUUCUUGUGUGGGCUAAGGUUGUGGAAUCCGGGUAUAAGGGGUGCAUCUAAAACUUGUACAAAGCAAUUUGGUAUUCACAACAACUCCAUGUCACCACAUGCUGCUGUUGCAGGUAAAUUGCAAAAUUGCACAGUUCUUAUUUACACUCGAUGGAGCUCUAUGAUAGGAGAUUCAGGUUCAACCUUUGCAAUUAAAAAUGUGGAACAGAGGGUGCUUCCUAAAGUAACAAGUUCAGCUAGCAGAUUAUGGGACCCAGGAAUCUUUGAUGUUCAUUGCCUCGGCACUAUUAAGCUGUUUUCGACCACAUGGGUGUCUUGCUUAUUUGUUCCUGUUGUGAAAGAUUUUCUUGGUCAUGGACUGGAGCUUUCUGCUACAACACAGUGGGAUCCUAGAGUCUUGAAUCUUCAUGGCCGGGCAAUUACUAAAUGA